RNAcentral lists this ribosomal RNA (675 nucleotides) under Bacillus sp. CL5. RNAcentral describes it as "bacterial SSU rRNA". It matches the Rfam family "Bacterial small subunit ribosomal RNA", at positions 9 to 667 of the family's 1533-position model. Lineage: Bacteria; Bacillati; Bacillota; Bacilli; Caryophanales; Bacillaceae. The record is from RNAcentral.
GAGUUUGAUCCUGGCUCAGGACGAACGCUGGCGGCGUGCCUAAUACAUGCAAGUCGAGCGGACAGAAGGGAGCUUGCUCCCGGAUGUUAGCGGCGGACGGGUGAGUAACACGUGGGUAACCUGCCUGUAAGACUGGGAUAACUCCGGGAAACCGGAGCUAAUACCGGAUAGUUCCUUGAACCGCAUGGUUCAAGGAUGAAAGACGGUUUCGGCUGUCACUUACAGAUGGACCCGCGGCGCAUUAGCUAGUUGGUGGGGUAAUGGCUCACCAAGGCGACGAUGCGUAGCCGACCUGAGAGGGUGAUCGGCCACACUGGGACUGAGACACGGCCCAGACUCCUACGGGAGGCAGCAGUAGGGAAUCUUCCGCAAUGGACGAAAGUCUGACGGAGCAACGCCGCGUGAGUGAUGAAGGUUUUCGGAUCGUAAAGCUCUGUUGUUAGGGAAGAACAAGUGCGAGAGUAACUGCUCGCACCUUGACGGUACCUAACCAGAAAGCCACGGCUAACUACGUGCCAGCAGCCGCGGUAAUACGUAGGUGGCAAGCGUUGUCCGGAAUUAUUGCGCGUAAAGGGCUCGCAGGCGGUUUCUUAAGUCUGAUGUGAAAGCCCCCGGCUCAACCGGGGAGGGUCAUUGGAAACUGGGAAACUUGAGUGCAGAAGAGGAGAGUGGAAA